Molecule: ribosomal RNA, 478 nt
Filed under: Niphargus frasassianus
Lineage: Eukaryota; Metazoa; Arthropoda; Malacostraca; Amphipoda; Niphargidae
Description: partial 12S ribosomal RNA
Source: RNAcentral
UACUGUGGAUUUUAUUGGGUUUUGUUAGGUUUAUUUUAAUUUUGUUAGUAUUAAUUUAAAUUUAGGUGAAAUAUGUUUAAACAUUAGGUUUACAUUGUUAUAUAAGAUAAAUUAUAUAUAAUUAGGAUUAGAGACCCUAUUAAUAAUGAUAUUUUUUUUCUAAGGAUUAUGUUUAAAAUAAAAAUAUUUGGCGGCUAUUUAUAUUAAAGGGAUUUGCUUUUUUAUCGAUUUGCCUCGUUUAUUAUUAUUUAUUUUGUUUUUGUAUACCGUCAUUUAGAUAAUUUUCAUAAAAUUAAUUAUGGUUAUAAUUUUUUAAAUGUUAGAUCAAGGCGCAGAUAUAAUUAAUUUUAAGUUAAUGACAAUAAUGUAUUAUUAUACGGUAUUUAUAUAAUUAAUUGGAAUAGGUGGAUUUAAAUGUAAUACUAAAUUAUUUGAAAUUAAAUUUAUGGUGUACAAAUUGCCCGUCAUUCUCUAUGAG